Molecule: ribosomal RNA, 475 nt
Filed under: uncultured organism
Description: partial 16S ribosomal RNA
Rfam family: Bacterial small subunit ribosomal RNA
Source: RNAcentral
CGUACACUCCUACGGGAGGCAGCAGUGGGGAAUAUUGCACAAUGGGCGCAAGCCUGAUGCAGCCAUGCCGCGUGUAUGAAGAAGGCCUUCGGGUUGUAAAGUACUUUCAGCGGGGAGGAAGGCGAUAAGGUUAAUAACCUUGUCGAUUGACGUUACCCGCAGAAGAAGCACCGGCUAACUCCGUGCCAGCAGCCGCGGUAAUACGGAGGGUGCAAGCGUUAAUCGGAAUUACUGGGCGUAAAGCGCACGCAGGCGGUCUGUCAAGUCGGAUGUGAAAUCCCCGGGCUCAACCUGGGAACUGCAUUCGAAACUGGCAGGCUAGAGUCUUGUAGAGGGGGGUAGAAUUCCAGGUGUAGCGGUGAAAUGCGUAGAGAUCUGGAGGAAUACCGGUGGCGAAGGCGGCCCCCUGGACAAAGACUGACGCUCAGGUGCGAAAGCGUGGGGAGCAAACAGGAUUAGAAACCCUGGUAGUCCC